This 340-nucleotide ribosomal RNA is filed under the name uncultured eukaryote. Its description in RNAcentral is "partial 18S ribosomal RNA". It matches the Rfam family "Eukaryotic small subunit ribosomal RNA", at positions 1470 to 1796 of the family's 1831-position model. The record is from RNAcentral.
CCCUUAGAUGUUCGGGGCCGCACGCGCGCUACACUGAAGGACUCAGCGUGUCUCUCCCCCUAUCCCGAAAGGGAUGGGCAACCCGUUGAACCUCCUUCGUGCUAGGGAUUGGGGUUUGCAAUUAUCCCCCAUGAACGAGGAAUUCCCAGUAAGCGCGAGUCAUCAGCUCGCGUUGAUUACGUCCCUGCCCUUUGUACACACCGCCCGUCGCUACUACCGAUUGGAUGGUUUAGUGAUACCCUCGGAUCGGUCCCGACUCGGGGUGGGCUUCUGCCCCGGUCGUGGUUUCGCCGAGAAGACGGCCAAACUUGACUAUCUAGAGGAAGUAAAAGUCGUAACA